RNAcentral lists this ribosomal RNA (441 nucleotides) under Poa pratensis (Kentucky bluegrass). Its description in RNAcentral is "eukaryotic LSU rRNA". The stretch from base 301 to 441 matches the Rfam family "Eukaryotic large subunit ribosomal RNA", at positions 1 to 141 of the family's 3401-position model. RNAcentral also lists the same sequence under 1 other name. The record is from RNAcentral. Lineage: Eukaryota; Viridiplantae; Streptophyta; Magnoliopsida; Poales; Poaceae.
UGCAGAAUCCCGCGAACCAUCGAGUCUUUGAACGCAAGUUGCGCCCGAGGCCACUUGGCCGAGGGCACGCCUGCCUGGGCGUCACGCCAAACACGCUCCCACCCCUCAUCGGGUGGUGGGAUGCGGCAUGUGGCUCCCCGUCUUGCAAGGGGCGGUGGGCCGAAGAUGCGGCUGCCGGCGUAUCGUGCCGGACACAGCGCGUGGUGGGCGACCUCGCUUUACUUACCGCAGUGCAUCCGGCCCAUAGCCGACGUGAUGGCCUUAAGGACCCUAUGAACGGAGCGCAUGACGCUCCGACCGCGACCCCAGGUCAGGCGGGACUACCCGCUGAAUUUAAGCAUAUAAAUAAGCGGAGGAGAAGAAACUUACAAGGAUUCCCCUAGUAACGGCGAGCGAACCGGGAUCAGCCCAGCUUGAGAAUCGGGCGGCCGUGCCGUCCGA